Molecule: ribosomal RNA, 397 nt
Filed under: uncultured bacterium
Lineage: Bacteria
Description: partial 16S ribosomal RNA
Rfam family: Bacterial small subunit ribosomal RNA
Source: RNAcentral
AUACGUAGGGGGCGAGCGUUGUCCGGAAUGAUUGGGCGUAAAGGGCGCGUAGGCGGCCUGUUAAGUCUGGGGUGAAAGUCCUGUUUUCAAGAUGGGAAUUGCUUUGGAUACUGAUGGGCUUGAGUGCAGGAGAGGUUAUCGGAAUUCCCGGUGUAGCGGUGAAAUGCGUAGAGAUCGGGAGGAACACCAGUGGCGAAGGCGGGUAACUGGACUGCAACUGACGCUGAGGCGCGAAAGUGUGGGGAGCAAACAGGAUUAGAUACCCUGGUAGUCCACACUGUAAACGAUGAAUGCUAGGUGUAAGAGGUAUCGACCCCUUUUGUGCCGGAGUUAACACAAUAAGCAUUCCGCCUGGGGAGUACGGCCGCAAGGUUGAAACUCAAAUGAAUUGACGGGU